This 1743-nucleotide long non-coding RNA is filed under the name Bemisia tabaci. RNAcentral's name for it is "lncRNA ENSASIAIIG001548". Lineage: Eukaryota; Metazoa; Arthropoda; Insecta; Hemiptera; Aleyrodidae. The record is from RNAcentral.
GGCACGAUAGUAUUGUAAGGAAGCAAAAAUAGGGUGAAAAUAUAACUUAAAAAAGGUACACUUGGAACUGCGCCUAUUUUUCAGUUUUUACCACUUGUUUAUUUGGGAUACUUUCUGGUUGAAAAUUUUUCAGCCUUCGGGAUUCUACACGCGCUCGAUCUCCUUUUAUUCUUGCGCAGAUUUGAUUUUUGCAUUAGUGCUGUACUGAACGUCAUCCUUUUCAAGAUGGUCUUGUUCAUCUGGCUUGGUUUCUCUUCUUGUGAAAUGUUCUUCUCUGCUGUUUUACUGUUUAUCCUAGGAUCGAUUGUUGGUCCAUAUCCGGCUGUCCAAGGGGCGCAACAAGGUGCUGUUGUAACUGAUUAUGAACCGGCGUUUGUGGAGAUUCUGAAUUGGGUGGAGUCGCAGGACCAGUGCACAUCGAUCCCGGCCGCACGGCGAACCGGGGACCCGGCGACGUUGGCAAAUGCCGUUCUCAAAGGGAACGAAGCGUGCGUGAAAAUGAACCGCAAGCUCCAGGAUGAGGUCCAAGAUUAUCGCCGCGAGGACUGCGAUGGGGGGACAAACCCUGGCUGCUGUGAAGUCUCGGAGCCCAACGGGCAGCAGCGGUGUUGCGUUGAAGUUGAAGAUAUUGGCUGGUUCGGCAAGCGCAUCCCAAAAAAGAUCUCUAUAUACAGUUGCGUGAAACGGGCCCUUCGAGAGUACAAAAGACAACUGGGAGAAGCAAAACAACGGCAGAGGCCCCAGAAACUCUACGACUGCCCUGAGAAACCUGGUCCCAACGUCUACAUGGUCCCAUAUCCGGGAGCGCCCCAAACUACCCCCGCGCACACCGCCUCCACACGCCGUUCUUCAUCCUUCUCUGCCCCCUCCUCAACCCCAAAAGCUCCUUCCAAACCCUCUAAAUUUUCCACCCCCACAACCCCAAAAGCUUCCCUCAAAUCCUCUAAAUCUUCCACCUCCACAACCCCAAAAGCUUCCCCCAAAUCCUCUAAAUCUUCCACCUCCAAGACCUCGAAAGCUCGUCCCAAAACUCUAAAACUUCCACCCCCAAGACUCCUGCUACACCCUCUGGUCAAACUCAAACAUAUACUGUGAUACCAUUCAAGUGGCCCCGAGAAACUCGUCCGUCAGAUUCGGUGUGGGAGUUCGGGGAAUCAAGCGUUGGCAAGAACGAUUGAUUUUACAAGCGAUCGAAGCAACCUUUCAAAGUAACCCUUUAAGAAGUAAAUUUCAUUUAUUUUAUCCGUAGUCAACAAGCCACAAUUCCACAUUGAAAUACGUUUUAAGUUACCAAACAUCGGUGGCAAAUGAGAGGAGAUAGCGAUUUGACUUCCGUAGUACAUCACUUCCAUCAUUUCCCCGCCAUUCCGACGCGUAUGAUAAUUCUCCAAGUCUUGGGACUUUUUAAAAAUGGAUUCAUCCUGGAUUUUGGUUCGAAAAAUACGCAAUAAAGCACCACGUAGCCUACUCACCUGGUACUUUCAGAAUCGUUUUGUAUAUAUUCUUAUGGAUCUCAGGGCUCAUGUCUUUCUUAAUGCAUACAGCUCUGUUUGGCAGAAAUACGUCCAAGUUAGGUUCGAGCCGACGCACGAUGAAAUAAACUAUUGGCUGAGGUAGAACACAAUACCAUAAAAUAUCUACAUAUCGUGUUGAGGUUUAUUUCCUAAGCAUACAUAUUAGACCGCGGCAGUUCGAAUACUAUGUUUUAAUAUUAUUCAUUCGUUGUAAUGUGGAAUCCAAAAA